RNAcentral lists this ribosomal RNA (253 nucleotides) under uncultured microorganism. RNAcentral's name for it is "partial 16S ribosomal RNA". It matches the Rfam family "Bacterial small subunit ribosomal RNA", at positions 524 to 776 of the family's 1533-position model. The record is from RNAcentral.
UACGUAGGGUGCGAGCGUUAAUCGGAUUUACUGGGCGUAAAGCGUGCGCAGGCGGCCCGUUAAGACAGGUGUGAAAUCCCUGGGCUCAACCUAGGAAUUGCGCUUGUGACUGGCGGGCUAGAGUACGGUAGAGGGGGGUGGAAUUCCUGGUGUAGCAGUGAAAUGCGUAGAGAUCAGGAGGAACACCGAUGGCGAAGGCAGCCCCCUGGGCCUGUACUGACGCUCAUGCACGAAAGCGUGGGGAGCAAACAGG